ACACUGCAGCAAUUUGCUGCUUCCUUCUCCAUCUCACUUUAGGAUUAAAUGACUUGCCCAGGAUGACACAGCUAGCGAUUCCUCUCCCAGAGCUCUGUCCACUGCGUCACCUGGUUAUUUCUAGAUCUGCAGUGCUCAAGGUCAGCCAGUCAUGGAUUAAAUUAUUUCCUGUUCCCUGAGAGGCCAGCCCCGUCUUUCCUUUCCAACGGAAUCUGUGGAUGGUCUGAGGAGAGACAGCUGUGGAGGACCGUAAGCCGCUAAAGAGAGUUUCAUGCCUAACAGGAAAUGUCUCACAAAAAGAAAUAUUUUGAUGAAGAAAGUGGAAGAAUAUUUCUGAAGAUGCUGCUGCAAGUGCAGAGUGAACUCAGCCAAGUCCCACUAGAAGAGGGAAGCAAAUUCAUUUUAUUGUCUUCUUAUUUUUAAGCUGUGGGAGAGGAGAACCCUUAAAGAAUGGGUUCUUGGCUUGGGAGGUGGGCAAGGGGAAGGAAAUGAUGAAAGUGACAACAGAAAUAAAGUAAAGGGACCCGAUUCUCUCUUUUACUUCCAUUUUCUCUACCAGUGAGUUCUAUGCUUUAGAAUGGGAAAGGAGAGAACAUCAAAGGGCUGACUGGUAGCCCACGCAGGAGCUGAGCAGAGAUAUCAAGGACAGGAAUAAUCAAGGCCCAGAAGAAGAUGCAGAUGUAACUGCUGAUGCAUUGUCAGGGAAAUCUGAAGCAUCACUGGAGAGGAGAGUCAAGUCCUUGAUUCCUGAGCUGGGGCUUUGUUCCAGGGCCAGCUCCUCUUCCCUCUGCUGCACCUUCGGGUGAAGUUCUCCACCUGGGCUUGCCUCCCACCAUUAGGCUUCCAGAAUGCUGGAUCUUUGGGUCCCUUUCUAGCACCUCAGAUGCCAGGGACUUCAGAGCCACUGAGCAAUCUUUUGUAGGAGUGCUGGGGCCAUAAUGGUUGCUGUUUACCCCCUCCGUUCUCGAAGACUUUGAGGCUUUUUAGAGGCCUUCAUUCUCCCUUCCUUCAGGUAAGAGCUCUGCAGACUCUAAGUGUUUCCUGGUCUGUCUCUCAUCGCUGAGAAUCUCUUCCAUCUUGGCACUGGCUUUGGUGAUAGAUUCCUUUUCCAAUUGCCCUCUGGUUUCUGGUUGACUUUUGUCCAGUUAU
Long non-coding RNA from Sarcophilus harrisii (Tasmanian devil), 1149 nucleotides. RefSeq lists it as uncharacterized. Lineage: Eukaryota; Metazoa; Chordata; Mammalia; Dasyuromorphia; Dasyuridae. The record is from RefSeq and is a predicted model, not a curated record. The transcript is spliced from 2 exons.